Long non-coding RNA from Drosophila biarmipes, 1241 nucleotides. RefSeq lists it as uncharacterized. The record is from RefSeq and is a predicted model, not a curated record. NCBI's taxonomy places the organism in Eukaryota, Metazoa, Arthropoda, Insecta, Diptera, Drosophilidae. The transcript is spliced from 2 exons.
AUCAAUCAUUUGUGCCAUUUAAAUUUGGCAGCUAAUACAAAUCAGGUACUAUGAAAAUAGAAGCCCAGAGGGAAUUUAAUUUGCUUUUGUUAUUGCAUGGUGAAAGCAGUAUGCAUUGAGGCAAUUGUCUAUUUAUUGGGAAAAAACAAAUUCCGAAAUUAAAUUAGAAACCUGUAAGCCAUAUACAAACCUAAAAUAUUCCACCAAAUUGAAAGAGUUUACAAUUUUGCCUCAAAAUGGAAGCCAGACGAACCAAAUAUUGUAUUACACUGUUCGAUUUAAUUCAUCAAUAUGGAGCACGCGAUUUGAUUGCCUGUAUCCAUGUGAUGUAUCGCCUUUCGGGUGACGAAAUCCGAGAGAUUCGCGCUGGCAUUCCCGUGAGGUAAUAAAAGACCUCUACUCGAAACGAUUUAGGCGACACCGCCCGACUAAAAAUAGCCCCAACUCAAAUUGAUGCAAAUUAAUCAUGAUUAGUCGGCCGAUGUGGUUGCCAGGUGGAAGAGUGCUUCAUGGGUAUCCCUUUGGCGCACCUGGCGCAGUGGGGAAAUUUGGAGAAAGGUGUUGGGGAAAAGCGGAAACGGAAGUGACUGAGAAGUUGCGUGAACUGGCGACAAUUUGUCACAGUUUCCGGACAGCUGGACUGUAUGUGUCGUUUUAUAGGUCAAGUUGAGAGCGACAAGUGCGAAAGGCAAACAAAGGCGGACAAUUACCAUAACAAAACGCCCAACUGGCAUAAUGGAAAACUCAAAUAGUAGCGCAGAAAGAGACCGAGCUAAGCGGCUAGAGAGAGAUGGCCAAACGCUGGCUAAUUACGCCAAUUACGACAUUUUUACUCGAAAAUUGUGGGAACCUUGCUCAGCUGGGCAGGGCGGAAUGUGCACGAAUUUAUUGCAGCAAUUAAGACCUUAAUUCAAUGAACCCGCUCCCUGUGGAAAAACAGAUGUCAGAUUACAGUCGACAGGCAUCCUGGACAGGUGCAGCGAAACUUUUGGCCAGCCUAUCAGCGUGAGACACAAUGCCAGCCCGUUGACCCUUCAACCCUCGGCAGGCGACCGAAGAGCUGCAGAUUCCAAAGUUUUCCCAGGCAUCAGCUGCCCUUCGACAGAUAGCAAACAAGUCCUUAACCUCGGGCAAGUAUGCAGACUGUAUAGCUGUUGUCUAGAGCCAAAUGAGUGAUUUACCAGGGAUCAAAAUACCCAAAAGCUACAAAAAAAACCAACAAAAUAUAUUUAUUGUAUCCA